RNAcentral lists this ribosomal RNA (407 nucleotides) under uncultured Bradyrhizobiaceae bacterium. RNAcentral's name for it is "bacterial SSU rRNA". It matches the Rfam family "Bacterial small subunit ribosomal RNA", at positions 85 to 526 of the family's 1533-position model. Lineage: Bacteria; Pseudomonadati; Pseudomonadota; Alphaproteobacteria; Hyphomicrobiales; Nitrobacteraceae. The record is from RNAcentral.
GCAAUGCAGAGUGGCAGACGGGUGAGUAACGCGUGGGAACCUUCCCUAUGGUUCGGAAUAGCUCAGGGAAACCUGGGGUAAUACCGAAUAAGCCCUUCGGGGGAAAGAUUUAUCGCCAUUGGAUGGGCCCGCGUAGGAUUAGCUAGUUGGUGAGGUAAUGGCUCACCAAGGCGACGAUCCUUAGCUGGUCUGAGAGGAUGAUCAGCCACACUGGGACUGAGACACGGCCCAGACUCCUACGGGAGGCAGCAGUGGGGAAUAUUGGACAAUGGGCGAAAGCCUGAUCCAGCCAUGCCGCGUGAGUGACGAAGGCCUUAGGGUUGUAAAGCUCUUUUGGCGGGGAAGAUCAUGACGGUACCCGCAGAAUACGCUCCGGCUAACUUUCGUGCCAGCAGCCGCGGUAAUAC